This 470-nucleotide ribosomal RNA is filed under the name uncultured Gram-positive bacterium. RNAcentral describes it as "bacterial SSU rRNA". It matches the Rfam family "Bacterial small subunit ribosomal RNA", at positions 28 to 509 of the family's 1533-position model. The record is from RNAcentral.
GACGAACGCUGGCGGCGUGCUUAACACAUGCAAGUCGAACGGAAUCCAUGUGGUGGUAACACCGCGGAAGAUUUAGUGGCGAACGGGUGAGGAACACGUGAGGAACCUGCCCCAAACUUUGGGAUAACAGUUGGAAACGACUGCUAAUACCAGAUGCCGUUACUUUGUCGCAUGGCGAGGUAACGAAAGUUUUUCGGUUUGGGAGGGCCUCGCGGCCUAUCAGCUUGUUAGUGAGGUAAUGGCUCACCAAGGCAACGACGGGUAGCUGGUCUGAGAGGAUGAUCAGCCACACUGGGACUGAGACACGGCCCAGACUCCUACGGGAGGCAGCAGUGGGGAAUCUUGCGCAAUGGGCGAAAGCCUGACGCAGCAACGCCGCGUGCGGGAAGAAGGCCUUAGGGUUGUAAACCGCUUUCAGCAGGGAAGAAAAUGACUGUACCUGCAGAAGAAGGUGCGGCCAACUACGUGCC